UACGAGGGAUGCAAGCGUUAUCCGGAAUUAUUGGGCGUAAAGCGUUUGUAGGCGGGCGAGUGUGUUUAAUGUUAAAUCUUAAAGCUCAACUUUGAAAUUGCGUUAAAAACUGCUUGUCUUGAGUAUGGUAGGGGUAAAGGGAAUUCCCAGUGUAGCGGUGAAAUGCGUAGAUAUUGGGAAGAACACUAAACAGCGAAGGCACUUUACUAGGCUAAUACUGACGCUGAGAAACGAAAGGUAAGGUAGCGAAACGGAUUAGAUACCCGUGUAGUCUUACCCGUAAACUAUGGACACUAAACGGUAAAUUUUUAAUUUACUGUUAAAGCUAACGCGUUAAGUGUCCCGCCUGGGGAGUAUGCUUGCAAAAGUGAAACUCAAAGGAAUUGACGGGGGCCCGCACAAGCGGUGGAGCAUGUGGUUUAAUUCGACGGUACACGAAGAACCUUACCAGGAUUUGACAUGCUAGAUAGUUGCUUGAAAGAGUAACGUGCCGUAAGGAAUCUAGACACAGGUGGUGCAUGGCUGUCGUCAGUUCGUGUUGUGAAAUGUUGGGUUAAGUCCCGCAACGAACGCAACCCUUGUCUUUAGUUAUUUUCUAAAGAGACUGCCUGUAAUAAACAGGAGGAAGGUAAGGAUGAGGUCAAGUCAUCAUGCCCCUUAUGUCCUGGGCUACACACGUGCUACAAUGGGAAAGACAAUGAGCUGCAAAUCUGUAAAUUUAAGCAAAUCUCUUAAACUUUCUCGUAGUUCGGAUUGUGGGCUGCAACUCGCCCACAUGAAGUUGGAAUCGCUAGUAAUCGCCAGUCAG
Molecule: ribosomal RNA, 808 nt
Filed under: uncultured bacterium
Lineage: Bacteria
Description: bacterial SSU rRNA
Rfam family: Bacterial small subunit ribosomal RNA
Source: RNAcentral